RNAcentral lists this long non-coding RNA (11730 nucleotides) under Arabidopsis lyrata. Its description in RNAcentral is "long non-coding RNA (ALYR_LNC000423)". Lineage: Eukaryota; Viridiplantae; Streptophyta; Magnoliopsida; Brassicales; Brassicaceae. The record is from RNAcentral.
CGCAUCGAGGUGUGGGACCACCACGCUCCUCAGCUCCGUUGCUCAGGCGUCUCCUUUGCACGUUACAUCAUCGAGUCUAAGGGUCUCUACUUGCCCUCUUUCUUCAACACAGCAAAGCUCUCCUUUGUGGCUAAAGGUUCGUACGAUCCUUUUUAUAUCGAAAUUCAUAUUCAUGACUUAUGGUUCAUGCUUUUUAGUAUUCGUCCAUAAGUUUUUAACUUUAAUUAAAGCUAUAUAAUUUAUAUGUGUUCGAUUGUAGGACGAGGUCUUAUGGGAAAAGUGAUCCCUGGAUGCGCCGAGACAUUCCAAGACUCAUCAGAGUUCCAACCACGCGGAGGCGAGCAGUUCGAGGGUCAGGGUGAAGAAGGUCAAGGUCAAGGUCAAGGUGAAAGGCAGAGGUUCCGUGACAUGCACCAGAAAGUGGAGCACAUAAGGAGCGGUGACACCAUUGCCACAACACCAGGUGUAGCACAGUGGUUCUAUAAUGACGGACAGCAACCACUUGUCAUCGUUAGCGUCUUCGAUCUAGCCAGUCACCAGAACCAGCUUGACCGCAACCCAAGGGUAUAAACCAAAACCUCAAAAAAAAAUCAUUAUAUUAAUUAGUUACAAAAUAACAAAAAAAUAAUGUGAUUAUUUUUCUUGGUGUGUUAUAUAUGAAGCCAUUUUACUUAGCCGGAAACAACCCACAAGGCCAAGUAUGGCUACAAGGACGAGAGCAACAGCCACAAAAGAACAUUUUCAAUGGAUUCGGACCCGAGGUUAUUGCUCAAGCUUUGAAGAUCGAUCUUAAGACAGCGCAACAACUUCAGAACCAAGAAGACAACCGUGGAAACAUUGUCCGAGUCGAAGGCCCUUUCGGUGUCAUUAGGCCACCUUUGAGGGGCCAGAGACCUCAGGAGGAGGAGGAAGAAGAAGGACGACACGGACGACACGGUAAUGGCUUAGAGGAGACCAUCUGCAGCGCCAGGUCCACUGAUAACCUCGAUGACCCGUCUCGUGCUGACGUGUACAAGCCACAGCUUGGUUACAUCAGCACUCUCAACAGUUACGAUCUUCCCAUCCUUCAUCUUGGCCUAAUAUGUCCAACAACACCACAAUGAUGGCAAACAGGUCGAAAAACUCGUCGAGGUGCACUCCGCAAUGUUGGCAUGCAUGCAUUUGAAUAAGGGUGAACAUUUUGAGUGUUCGGUUUGUUAUAAUAUAUGUCCAUUUCUACAAUCUAAACUUGACUCUUGCAACGUGUGUGGGUGUAGAACGCAAUGGUGCUUCCACAGUGGAACGCAAACGCGAACGCGAUUCUUUACGUGACAGACGGAGAAGCCCAAAUCCAGAUCGUAAACGACAACGGUAACAGAGUGUUUGACGGACAAGUCACUCAAGGACAGCUAAUUGCCAUACCACAAGGUUUCUCGGUGGUGAAACGCGCAACAAAUAACCGAUUCCAGUGGGUUGAGUUCAAAACAAACGCAAACGCGCAAAUCAACACUCUUGCUGGACGAACCUCAGUCUUGAGAGGUUUACCAUUGGAGGUCAUAACCAAUGGGUUCCAAAUCUCACCCAAAGAAGCAAGGAGGGUCAAGUUCAACACGCUCGAGACCACUCUGACUCACAGCAGUGGCCCAGCUAGCUACGAAAGGCCAAGGGUGGCUGAAGCUUGAAAGCUUAAAAUGGCGGCAUAACAAUGAACCCCUACUGUAAAAGGAAGUUAAAUAGUACGUAGUAAUAAUAAUAAUAAUGUACGAAAAUGUGACUAGUUUUGUUGAGGUUUACCUGUAAAAUGCCACUCCUUUUCUGAAUAAAAAAACUUUCUUUUCAAUCAAGUUAGGUCUAAAUUAGGGUUCUUAGAGACUAGUUCUGACUUCUGAAUGAGCUCAGAACGGAUAUAGACUCAAACGGAAGCCGGAAACUUUGGACUUUCACUCUACAUUUGAGUUUCAUUAUCUAAAUAUUAUGUUCUCACAAUUUAUUUAGAACAAUCAUUUUCAAAGCAAAGGUUCUGUCAAAUAUCAACUUUUCUUUUUAAGUUAGCAAAGCGAAGGUAGUUAUUCAAAAAUUUAUAUAAAAUGAUCAAAAUUUAUAAAUUCGUUUAUAUUAUACUUGAACCUUAAUUUAUUUGUAGCACUUCACUGAAAUUUUUAGAAACCUAUAAGAUAAUAUUAUAAUAAAUUUCACCUAUGUGCAUGAGCCAUGAUAUAUACUUUCUGUGCCUGUUUUUGUUUUUUUAACAUGUUCUACUAAACACUUAUCUGUGAUGCAGAGCACCUCCAUCAAGAUAUCUUGAUGGGGUUCUCCUCUAUUUUAAAAUUGAAAAUAUUGAAAAAGUAGAAAAGAGAUUAAGAAAGAGUUUUCAUUUGAGAAUCUUUGAUCUCUUGUUUUGAUAUCCAUUUUGACACUUAACAUUAUAUUAUAUGAUUAGUUUAGCUUUUAUAUGAUUUGAAAUUUAAAUAAAAGUUAAAACUAAUAAGAUAAUAUAUUUAAAAGAUCUAAGAGCAUCGGCAAUGGUGAGUUCUAACCCAUCUCUCACGAAUAAAAUAAAGAAAAAAAUAUAAAAAGGAGGAGGGAGGUAGAGAAACGUUUCUCUUUUGAGAAACCCAUCACAAAUGUUUCUUACAAUUGUCAUUCAAUCAUUGGUCUAUUUAAAAUACUUUCAAUUAAAUAUUUAUAAUAUUUGUGUUCACACCUAUAUAUGUAUUCACACUUGAGUUAGAUACGGAAGUUGAGAAACUUCCGUUGUUGAUGCUCUAAUAGGAUUCUUAAUGAAGAUGCUCUAAAAGUCAUAACCAAAGUCGGCUUUGAGGCCAAGCAAAUGCGGCCUUGUACAGUAUAAUUAAAAUUUUUGGUCCUAUAUAUAUUUCAAUGAGUUUUCUUUAGUUCGGUUGGUAGCGUGAAUAAUUGUGAAUGGUAAGGUGUCGAAUCCAAGUCUUUCUUUACCAGCUAUCUCGUUUAAUUUUUAUUUGUUUCACUCUUUCAGUAAUUCGUCAAGCCAAAAUUUUGGCCUGCGGCCCAUUUAUACUCUCGAGCAGCUCUGGUCAUAACGAUCGAUACAACUUGAUUGGUUAGAUGGCCAAAAACAUAGAAAUGGUAGAGUGGAAGUCCAGAGUUUGAUCAAUGUACGAUAUGAGGCUGAACCUGGUGUUCCAGUCUGGUGUUUCAAUAAGUUAAGAGUUCAUUCUUUAUGUUAGUGAUAAAUUGUUUUCUUCGUAGUGGGGUUGGAACUCUCUUUGCGAUAAUGUAAGGAUUAUUAAAAAAGUGUGAGAGAAAUAGAAAGAGCUCUGCUGACGUGGCAAGGAGAAAUUAAGGCGAUUAGGGUUUUUUUUGCUUUCUCAUCAAGUUUGAUGCCGCCGGAGGCUUCUCCGAGUCGUCUGGGGGAUUUCCGGUGCCGGGAGAUGGAGUGGUAUCUCCGGUAAUCGCAGCGAGUCAGGUAGAAGAGUUUCCGGUGUUGACAAUGGGAGAUGACAAAGAGGUUUCAUCGGAGGGUUUAAGAGAAAGUCAAUCCGACAAAGUUCACAAAGUUUCAUCAUCAAAUCAAACGAAGGUACAUCAGAAUACUAAGAGAUCGUUUCUUCAAGUGGCGCAGAAGCGAAUCUUUACUCAACAAAAGUUUGUGGUCUCAGAAGUUGAUGGCUGCGAGAAGGUUGUGGUGCCAAAGGAAGUGUUCGUCGGAGCAAAACCGAUUGGGGGGAUUUUUUUAUUGGGAAAUUUUUGAAUGAGAAAGCACCGCAAGUGGGUAAGAUUCAUAUGAUAGUGAAUAAGAUAUGGAGAUUGGGGGUUCACACUUCUUUGAUAGAUGUUUUUGAGGUGAAUGAGUCGACAGUUAAAUUUCGUAUCCGCAACCAAGGUAUGAGACACAUAAUUCUUAACAGAGGCAUGUGGAAUAUCAUGGAUAUCCUCAUGAUAGUUUCCAAAUGGACGCCAUACGCGGAGGAAGCCCAACCAGCCAUGAAAUAAAUUCCACUAUGAGUCACGUUGAUGAAUGUUCCACCAACCAUGUUUACGGACAAAGGGUUGGAGUUUUUGGCUAGUGCAGUUGGUAAACCAAUGAGAUUGCAUCCUAAAACAGAGACUUUUGUAAGUUUUGAUGAGUUGCAGAUAUUGGUUGAAGCGGAUUUGACAAAAGAGCUACCAACAGAAUUCUCUUUCACGGGAGAAGAGGAAGGUGAAUUAGAUUCUAUCAUUCGUUACUCGUACCUGUGGUUACCUCCGCGGUGCACUUGUUGUAAGAAAUGGGGCCAUCUUUAUGCUACUUGUCUAUCUGCAAUAGCAGAAGAAAAUAAAGAUAAGCAAAGUCCAAACAAAGUUCAGGAGAUACUCGAGGAAACAGAGACAAAAAGCAGUCCUAUUAUUCCGGAAACUGUAACAGCUACGGAUAUGAAGGACAGUGCCAAUGAGGUGGAAAUAAAUAAGGAGGCAGCUGAAGAGAAGGGCGAGGAGGAGAAAGAAGGGUGGAUCACUCCAAAAUCAGGGAGAAGUAGUCCAGGGAAGAAGCAAGAUGGUUUAAAAUAUGGUGAAGUCUCAAUCCUGUCCAAUGCAUACUCUGUUUUGGAGCUGGAAAGAGAUGAAACAGAGGUUGCAAAAACAGAGGUCUCACGGGAGAAAAAAUCUGAGACUGUCCCCAUUAUUUCAGAGGCUUCUCAAAGGCAAGAGGUAGUCGCAAAAGGUCAUACUCAUAGAGAGGGUCCACUACAACCAUCUUUGCCGAGAGGAUCAAAAACAGCUCACAAAACACUUUCUCAUCUUCAAGCUCCAUCGGCUAGGGACUCCUCUAGAGAUCAGAGUAAGAAGAUUCCCCCCAAACACUCUUAAUGUCAGGUUUCCUAUGGAAUGUUCGCUGCCUAACAAAUCUUCAAAACAUUCCGUAAUAAAAAAGUGGGUGGAGGAAAAUAAUUUUUAAUUCGGUUGUUUGCUAGAAACAAGAGUAAGGGAGGGGAAGGCGCAGAGGUUGGGAAGCCAGUUGUUUCGAGAUUGGUCCAUUUUAACAAACUAUGAGUACAACCUAUUAUCCGGGAUCCGGGAUCCGCCGAGAUCCGCUCUGGAAAACCAGAUAUACAGUCCUCCCGGAUCUGAAUCCGGAUAUCAAAAUGUGAGAUCCAUCGAAACCGGAUCCGGAUCCGAAUAUCAAAAUUGUUGGACACGGAAAUCCGGAUCCGGAUCCGUUUCUUAAAUUUUAUAUUUUUAUUCACUAUGGAAUGUUGACUGUUUCACGUAUCUAUCAUUUAAUAUGAAAUAUAUAUAAAUAUAAAAAUUAAAUGUCAUUAAGUGAGGUGAGCUGAAAUGAGGAAGUAUAGGUAGGCAUAUAUACAAACGUUGGAGACGUUCCCUUUUCCUAAAUAACCGAUGUGAGAUAUUUCAAAGUCUCUCUUCUCCUUUAGUGUUUUGUCCCACAUCGCUUAUAAACCCAUCUGUUUUUUUUUAGUUCCUUAUAAAUACAGCAUGUCUCCAAUUUGUCAAAGCCAUGGACGUUUGGGCUCACUUGGGCUCACGAAGCCCACUCGGAUUUAUUCCCAGAAGCCACUAAAGUUUAAUUUUUUAAUAAUUUUGACGGAUCCAAAUCCGGAUUCGGAUAUCCGGCGGAUAUCUUCCAAAGUCUCUCUUCUCCUUUAGUGUUUUGUCCCACAUCGCUUAUAAACCCAUAUGUUUUUUUUUAGUUCCUUAUAAAUACAGCAUGUCUCCAAUUUGUCAAAGCCAUGGACGUUUGGGCUCUCUUGGGAUCACGAAGUCCACUCGGAUUUAUUCCCAGCAGCCACUAAAGUUUAAUUUUUAAUAAUUUUGACGGAUCCAAUUCUGGAUCCGGAUAUCCGGCGGAUAUCAAAUAAAAAAGCGGAUAUCCGAAAGGCGGAUAUCCAUAGUCCACAGAGCCGGAUUUGGAUAUGUAAUAUCCGGCGGAUCCGGAUCUAGGCCGGAUAUCCGGAUCCGUCUCAGGGCUAAGUACAAUGCAAGAGGUCGCAUAUGGGUUUUAUGGUAGCAUAAUGUGAGACUAAGCCCUUUCUAUAAGAGUGAUCAAGUAAUCACCUGUUCGGUGAAACUGGAAAAUCAAGUGGAGGAAUUUUUUGUCUCCUUUGUGUAUGCAUCAAAUCUGGUGGCAAGAGUACGAGAUUAUUCAGAUUCACCUAUUAUUCACCAUAAGCCAUGGUUGGUCAUUGGUGAUUUUAAAGUCACACUAGAUAUGGCAGAGCAUUCAAAAGUAGAUGAUAACCCGCUGGUCACAUUGGGGAUGAGAGAUUUUCAGGCGUUGGUGAAUUAUUGUUCAAUCUCCGAUAUGGCAUCGCAUGGCCCGUUGUACACUUGGUGUAAUAAGCGGGAAAACGAUCUAAUUUUGAAGAAGUUGGAUAGAGUAUUGAUGAAUGAUGGAUGGUUAAGAGCAUUUCCACAAGCGUACAAUGUAUUCGAAGCAGGAGGGUGCUUGGAUCAUUUACGGUGUCGGAUAAUGCAAAUUGGUGGAGGUAGUGGUGUUACUCACCAUCGAAAACCAUUCAAAUUCGUCAAUGUACUCACAGAGAUGACAUAUUUCUUACCAGUGGUUGAGAAUUAUUAUAAAGAUACUGAGGAGCUAUUUUUAUCUACAUCAACGUUAUUUCGAUUUUCGAAAAAAACUGAAAGGACUCAAACCAAAGCUACGCAUUCUAGCAAAAGAAAGGGUCGGGAACUUGGUAAAGAAGGCAAAUGAGGCAUAUGACAUACUAUGUCAAAACUUGCUGAAUCCGAGCACCACUGCAAUGGAAGAGGAAAAUGAGGCUUAUAAACGAUGGGACCUUGUCGCCGGUCUGGAGGAGAAGUAUCUCAAGCAAAAAUCAAAGUUACAUUGGUUAAAUGUAGGUGACCAGAAUAACAAAAUAUUCCAUAGAGCGGCUGCUAUACGGGAAGCAAAAAAUAGUAUAAAGGAAGUUCUAUGCCAAGAUGGUCGGGUUCUAGUGCAAAAAGAUGACAUAAAAGCUAAGGCUGAGAGGUAUUUUCAGGAGUUUUUGCAACACGUCCCUAAUGAUUUUGCAGGAACUACGGUCGAGAAGCUUCAACAGCUUCUGCCUUUCCGUUGUUCUGAUCCAGAUCACCAAAAUCUCACUCGCGUUGUCUCAGGGGAAGAGAUCAAGAAGGUUUUGUUUGCCAUGCCGAAUGAUAAAUCUCCUGGGCCUGACGGGUAUACCUCAGAAUUUUAUAAAGCAUCUUGGGAGCUGAUAGGAAAGGAAUUUAUCCUGGCGGUUCAAUCUUUUUUUGUUAAGGGGUUUUUACCAAAGGGAAUCAAUUCAACAAUACUAGCACUCAUUCCCAAAAAAAAAAGGAGCUAGGCGAUGAAGGAUUUUCGACCUAUCUCCUGUUGUAAUGUGCUCUACAAAGUGAUUUCAAAAAUCAUUGCGAACCGGCUCAAAGUUAUUCUCCCAAGGUUUAUUUCUGGGAAUCAAUCGGCUUUUGUCCAAGACCGCCUCUUGAUCGAAAAUGUGUUUCUCGCCACUAUACUUGUUAAAGACUACCACAAGGACUCCGUCUCUUCUCGUUGUGCCAUAAAGAUUGACAUCUCCAAAGCUUUUGAUUCCGUUCAAUGGUCUUUUUUGAGUAAAGUACUCUCGGCUCUAAACUUCCUGCCAACUAUUAUUCACUGGAUUAUGCUAUGCGUUUCCACGACUUCUUUCUCGGUCCAGGUCAAUGGGGAACUAGCGGGAUAUUUCCGAAGCUCUAGAGGUUUGAGACAGGGCUGUUUUCUAUCUCCAUAUCUAUUUAUAAUAAGUAUGGAUGUGCUUUCAAAAAUGCUCGAUAAAGCCGCCGAGGACAGGAAAUUUGGAUAUCACCCACGGUGCAAGAAGUUGGGUCUCACUUAUUUGAGUUUUGCGGAUGAACUUAUGGUUCUAUCGGAUGGACGAGUGUGCUCUGUAGAAGGCAUUGUCAAGGUGUUUGAUGAUUUUGCCAAAUGCUCGGGUUUGAAAAUAAGCAUGGAGAAAUCCACUCUUUAUUUGGCUGGAAACAUGGCUGCAUCUACGGAAUAGUUAACAUCACUCUUUCCAUUUGAAGUAGGCCACCUACCAGUCCGUUAUCUAGGGCUCCCAUUGGUUACAAAGAGACUCUCAGCCGUGGACUAUAGACCUUUGAUUGAGCAGCUCCGGAAGAGAAUCGAGUCGUGGACCUCACGCUUUCUCUCUUUUGCAGGUCGACUGAAUUUAAUUUCCUCAAUCUUAUGGAGCAUAUGCAACUCUUGGUUAGCAGCCUAUCGACUACCAAGCGCAUGUAUCCGAGAAAUCGAAAAGCUCUGUUCCGCUUUUCUGUGGUCGGGUACUGAGCUAAAUUCACACAAGGCAAAGAUCUCUUGGGAUAAUGUAUGUAGACCAAAACAGGAAGGUGGUCUUGGACUGCGGUCGCUUAAAGAGGCAAACAUUGUUUGUUGUAUGAAACUUAUAUGGCGUAUAUACUCGCACAACAACUCUCUUUGGGUACAUUGGAUUCAGACAUUCCUCCUCAAGAAGACUUCUCUCUGAUCUAUAAACAAUGGUAACACAACGGGUUCAUGGAUAUUGAAAAAACUUUUCAAAUACAGAGCAAUGGCACAACCUUUUUGUAGAUUGGAAGUAGGAAAUGGGGAAAAGACUUCUUUUUGGUAUGAUAACUGGUCAUCAAUGGGUAGUCUGGUGGAUAGUGCAGCCAAUCGAGGCUUUAUAGACAUGGGGAUAAGUAAGAUGCGCUCUUUGGAGACUGCUUGGGCUAAUCGUCGAAGAAGAAGGCACCGUACGGCCCAUUUAAAUGCCAUAGAAGAAGAAAUCCACCAGAACUACCAAAAGAAAAAUGACAGAGAAGACAAAUUUCUUUGGAAGGGGAAGAAUGAUAUUUUUGGGCCAAAUUUCUCCACGAAAGAUACAUGGAACCAUAUUCGAACCACGGCCACCACAAUCUCAUGGCAUAGAGGAGUUUGGUUUGCACACGCAACACCAAAAUACUCUUUUUGUGUGUGGUUAGCAGCCCACAAUAGACUCUCGACGGGUGAUCGUAUGAUAAAAUGGAACCAAGGAGCCUCGGGAACUUGUGUACUUUGUCAAGACCAUUUGGAGACCAGAGAUCACCUCUUCUUCUCAUGUCAAUACGGCUCAAAAAUCUGGGAAGCUCUUGCAAAGGGACUUCUAAAAGCUAGGUACACAACAAACUGGCUCCUCAUUCUCGACUACAUCUGAAACGACCGGCUUGAUAGAGUGGAUGGAUUCCUUAUUCGAUAUGUUCUGCAAGUCGUAGUCUAUACGAUAUGGAAAGAACGGAAUGGGAGAAAACAUGGGGAGAGUCCGCAACUGGCAGAUUGUCUUAUAGCUUGGAUUGACAAGCAAGUAAGGAAUCGAAUUUCGACGAUUCGCAUAAAAGGAGAUAUGCGAUAUGAGGCAGCAUACCAAACAUGGAUCAACUCGUAUCUAAUUUUCUUUUCUACUUGAAUUUUCAAUGUUUUUUCCUCAGCUUUUCUCUUUUAGCAAACAGUUGCACAAGUUGUAAAAACGUUUAUUUUUUCUUUUGAAUAUAAUUUAAUAUUACAUUAAAAAAAAAAGAUAAUGUAAGAAUUAAUACGAAUGUGUCUUUGAAUAUCAAUGGAUUCGAAAAAAUAAUUUGUAGCUCGGAGAUCUUUGUUUUUGCGUAUCAACGGAUCACAAGAACUGAGAAAUCAACAACUUCAAAGUUUCUCUUUUAUUAAUCAAAAACAACCAACGAUUCCAAUACAAGAGUUAGAGUACAUAUACUAACUCUAAAGAAGAAUUAGAGUAUAUAUACUAACUCUGAAGAAAAUUCUAAUUGUCAAGACUUGGUGACAAAGCAUCUCAAAGCCAACAUAUUGUAUGUAAAACUCACACGUACUUAAGUAAAACCCCAAUAAUAAUAAUAAAUAAAUAAAUAAAUAAAAAACAGUAAACAAAAGCCUAAUUAUGAGAGGAGUAUAUAUGGAUGUCGCUACAUCAGAUUUUUUGGGGUAAGAGAAAAUUCGACAUUGAAUUUUCAUCUGAAUCAUCGGCCACCAAAAGGGAACAAAUAUUUAACCUUAAAAACGUCAGCCAUAUACAAAAUGUGGUGAACGAUGCAUAUAAACGUUGUUGUUUAUCUUCUCCAAGAUCUCAAGGGCCGAUCUUCCAUGAUUUCAAUUAGUUAUAAGUGUGAGCAGGAAUAUAUUAAUAAUGAGUACAACACAACUAAAAAUUAGAAUUCUCGUCUUUAGUGCAUUGUGUUAACAAAUCGUUUAUAUAUAUUUCUGAAAACUGAAAAUUAAAAAAAAAAACCAGAAAACUUAAAUUUUUUAUCUUUAGUGAAAAAUAAAACUUAUCGUUUAAUUUUGGUCCUUAAAAAACUAUUCCGCGUUAUUGGUACUCUCCAAAUUACAAGACCGAUUUGUUGGCUUGGAAAGUAUGAACCUCGUUUUACAGUUGUAGCUUUUUUCUCGGGUUUGGAUUACCCUUUCAGGCAUGAUAAGUAGAUAACAUACAUAACAAACCAACUAAUCUAUAAUCUAAUUCCACAAAUUAAACAAAAAAUCAAAAAUCAAAAAUAAAAAAUCGGAGCUGGAGCAGUCCGUUUCCAACGUAAUUGUUAUACUGAUCAAAUUAAAAUGUAAUUUGUCCUAUAAACACAAUAUCAUAGAUGAAAUUAUUUUAUCUUGAGGAACAAAUCCACUGUAUACAAUAAAUAAAGAUUUGUCCUGUCGCUAAUACAUGUUCCUAUCUCAAAGCUGAUGUGUAAGAAACAUGCACUUGAAUAAGCCAUGCAAAUUGAAAUGUGUCAAUUCCCUCCAUUAAUUAAUUUCCUUACAAUAUGAAGCCAAAAUCUAUUUUCCGAUGAAGACAUGAAAGUAGCAAUUUUAGUGAACUGUAAAUUGUACAUAGUCGAUUUUAUAUACCUGGUUCUUAUUUCAAUCAAUUUAUACUCAAAACCCCUAAACAAAAUUCCAGAAUAAAUCUCUUAUAAAUAGCUUCACGUAAUGCAAGUGAGAAACCACAAAAAAAAAGUAAGAAAAGAUAAAAAUGGCUCGAGUCUCUUCUCUUCUUUCUUUCUCCUUAACACUUUUGAUCUUUUUCGAUGGCUACGCGGCUCAACAGGGUCAGGAGGGUCAGCAGUUUCCAAACGAGUGCCAGCUCGACCAGCUCAAUGCGCUCGAGCCGUCACACGUACUGAAGAGCGAGGCUGGUCGCAUCGAGGUGUGGGACCACCACGCUCCUCAGCUCCGUUGCUCAGGCGUCUCCUUUGCACGAUACAUCAUCGAGUCUAAGGGUCUCUACUUGCCCUCUUUCUUCAACACCGCCAAGCUCUCUUUCGUGGCUAAAGGUACAUACGAUUAUUUCUAUAUCAAGAUUCGAAUGGUUCAUGCUCUUUUUGGAUUGGUUUACUCUUUUCUUUUCUAAAUUGAAACAUCCCUAAUUUUCUCUAUAUAUAUAUAUAUAUAUAUAUAUAUUAUAGAGCUAUAUAUGUAAUUUAUAUGUGUUCAACUGUAGGUCGAGGUCUUAUGGGAAAAGUGAUCCCUGGAUGCGCCGAGACAUUCCAAGACUCAUCAGAGUUCCAACCACGCGGAGGCGAGCAGUUCGAGGGUCAGGGUGAAGAAGGUCAAGGUCAAGGUGAAAGGCAAAGGUUCCGUGACAUGCACCAGAAAGUGGAGCACAUAAGGAGCGGUGACACCAUUGCCACAACACCCGGUGUAGCACAGUGGUUCUACAACGACGGACAGCAGCCACUUGUCAUCGUUAGCGUCUUCGAUCUAGCCAGUCACCAGAACCAGCUUGACCGCAACCC